RNAcentral lists this ribosomal RNA (251 nucleotides) under Mus cookii (Cook's mouse). Its description in RNAcentral is "partial 16S ribosomal RNA". The record is from RNAcentral. Lineage: Eukaryota; Metazoa; Chordata; Mammalia; Rodentia; Muridae.
AUGGACACUUUGAACUAACCCUAGCCCUAGCAACAUAAAACAUAAUUAUUUAAUUAACUAAACCAAAACAUUUAAACCACUUAAAGUAUUGGAGAAAGAAAUAUAUAAACACAUCUAGGAGCCAUAGAAUCAGUACCGUAAGGAAAGAUGAAAGACUAAUUAAAAGUAUAAAGAAGCAAAGAUUAAACCUUGUACCUUUUGCAUAAUGAAUUAACUAGAAAACUUCUAACUAAAAGAAUUAUAGCUAGAUA